Caenorhabditis elegans is the source of this 21-nucleotide non-coding RNA. NCBI's taxonomy places the organism in Eukaryota, Metazoa, Nematoda, Chromadorea, Rhabditida, Rhabditidae. The record is from Ensembl.
UACGUGAUCUAGUUCCGAAUA